CGAUUUGAAUGAUGAGAAAUUUUUUUCAAAUAUUAAUACAGUUAUCCCUGUCUUAAUAAAUUAUGUCGAGAAUACUUAAUCUGAAACAAAA
RNAcentral lists this small nucleolar RNA (91 nucleotides) under Lodderomyces elongisporus NRRL YB-4239. Its description in RNAcentral is "Small nucleolar RNA R38". It matches the Rfam family "Small nucleolar RNA R38". From Rfam's summary of the family: snoR38 is a C/D box small nucleolar RNA conserved across yeast, human, Arabidopsis and rice. It is encoded in the intron of elongation factor-1 gamma in both pombe and cerevisiae. snoR38 guides the methylation of 2'-O-ribose sites in 28S rRNA. The record is from Rfam by way of RNAcentral. Lineage: Eukaryota; Fungi; Ascomycota; Pichiomycetes; Serinales; Debaryomycetaceae.